UUUAACUGCUGGGAAUUUCUCGUUGUUACGAGCCAAUUUUAAAUCGUGGUGUCCGGUGGUCCUGGACAUGUCUUUGAAUUUUGCUUGUCCUUAAGAUGUCCUGGAAAUAUUCCAUUUUCAAUGCCCUUGAAUAACCUGAAAAUGUCCUUGAAUUUGUUACGGAUUUUUUACCGGACACCGUGUCCCUGAGGACACAAAUAUUGCCCGUGAGAUAUCGCACGAAAAGAUAAAUUCGAGGAUUGCACUUUGACGCCGAUUUGCCGCGACUUAGUUAUUUUAUCUAGGUAUGUACAAGCUGUGGCAACGGUUAUGGAGCCGGAGGAAAUAGGUAUGCAAUCAUUGUUUCUGUGUGCAACGGUUGUUGAAGUACGAAAGGGGCAUGCCGAAGCUAUAAUUUCUAGAUUAUUAAUCUAGACUAAACAUCUAGGCUGGAAUAGAGAAGCGUGCAUUUUUAUAACGGUAUAAUUACAAUUGUAAUUCAAGCGAGUCCUUAGAUUUCCUCGCGGCCAGCGUCGAGCCAAAACUGGAUAGAUACUUGUGGCCUAGGGUGGUCCUUAUUUAGGGUGCUGAUGAUUUUUUCCGUCCCACCUCGUAAAUUGACUUCAAAUAUCUCAAAAACGAUUGUCCAAUUUUUUCAGAUUUUCACCUCAACUGAAAGAUCGUCCGCUUUGUGAUCAAAGUUUUUUGUUGGAAAUAACGUGAGAGAACCUUUUUUUUCUCAGUAUAUAUUUCAUUGUUUUUCCAAUGUUAUUUCCAUAAGAACCUUCGAUCGCGAAGCGGACUUUCUUUGAGUUGAGGUAGAGAUCUAAAAAAGAAAUGGGGCAAUUGUUUUUUGUAUUAUUUGACGUUGAUUUGGGGGGUGGGAUGGAAAAAAUUCGUCAACACCCCGAAUAAGGACCACCCUACUGUGCCCGGCAUAGCGGGGGGAGGGUAAUUUCCGAAGAAAACCAACUGAUAUUGCCACCCUGAUUACAGAUUUCGUACUUUUUCAUGUAUCGCUGAAUUUAAUCGUGUCAAGGAAGGAUGUGCAAGGUAGUAUGCAUGGGGCGUGGUUUAAAAAUCAAUAUCACAUGCAAGAUUGAUUGGAACUGGCCGAUCGUGAAGAGACCUGGAUUGGAAACAUCUCGUCUACCUAUGGAUCCGACGCUGUAUCCAAUACCAAUACGCACAGGUACGAGGUACGAGAGUGAUAUGCGACACCGAAAAUACAUAUAGCUUGGCAAAUUUGACACUGACAGUGCGAAAGUUGCUGGGCACCGGUAGUGGCAUAAGAAUUGGGAGCGCUGGCCUUCUCACUGGGUCCGGGCGGCAUAAUCCGUAUAAGCGACGCUAUCGCCGGUCACCUUAUACCUAGAUAGGUACAACAGUGUCACGGUACAACCAAGUAGUCAGAACAUCAUACCAAGAUGUACGACUACUUCAAGUUUCGAAUGUCUCAGCGAGUCUGCGGCAAAGCAUGUAGACUAUCCUUAGGCCCACGUAGCUAUUACCCGUGUUACAAUGUAACGGGCAUUCGUUCUCAGUCAUGCUCUGCUUCUCGUGCGCCACGGAGGUAUGGGUAGGUAAGAAGUAAGAACCAAGAACCCACGGUAUCCCGUGGUUUUGCCGGAGUGACGGACACGUUUUAUACAGCGAAUGGAUUUGCGCAUGUACCAACUUCGCGACAACGAACCCUGGUGAACCCGUUCUUAAUUCUUCAUUACACAUCAGCGCUUCACUUACAAUUAAACGACCAGGCAUAAUUCCUGUAAAAUUUUACCGAGUUGGACAAUGAUGUCAGGAAAUGAGCCACCGCAACAGCCCUCGAGUUUGGAGUCAUUCCCCAUGUCGCCAAUUUUUUAUUAAUAUCAAUGAAAAAAUUCUAAAAUGUUCUUGAAAUUAUAAAUAAUAAAACCCUCAAACUUAAUUUGCUCUAAGUGUUUUCAUUUUCUUGAAAAAAAAAAAAACACCUAAAA
Long non-coding RNA from Neodiprion virginianus, 1955 nucleotides. RefSeq lists it as uncharacterized. The transcript has 3 exons. Lineage: Eukaryota; Metazoa; Arthropoda; Insecta; Hymenoptera; Diprionidae. The record is from RefSeq and is a predicted model, not a curated record.